Long non-coding RNA from Dreissena polymorpha, 1511 nucleotides. RefSeq lists it as uncharacterized. The transcript is spliced from 4 exons. The record is from RefSeq and is a predicted model, not a curated record. NCBI's taxonomy places the organism in Eukaryota, Metazoa, Mollusca, Bivalvia, Myida, Dreissenidae.
CAACAACAACAAAUAUGGCGGAAUCUGUAGUGUCAAACACGGAAGAAGAAGGAUACAACCAUAAUUAAACCAAGAAGUUUAUGAAGAAGGGAUCACUGGAUUUUGUCACUUUGGUACAAGAAACAGAAAAGGAUAUCAUAGACCACCUUACUUAUACGGAAGCAUAGGAGCUGUUGAAGGAAAUUGCUGCCAGACAGUCAGCAGUUAUCACUGACAGCCUGUCCUGGCCCAGCUUGGACCAUCCUCAAGCUAACCAUGAUGGUGUGUUUGCAAGAAUUGUCCAUUUGGUAGACCAUGAUGAAGACCAGCUUUGUUGUGGCAUGGCCUGACAAUACUGUACAAGCCAGAGACCAAAAAAAGGUUAAGUGGUGACUGAUCCUCUCACCCUCCUUAUCCAGGAAACGUUUCGGAACAACGUAUUGGCACUGAAGAUGUGGAGGACACAGAUUGAUCACAGUACAUCCUUUGGAUACAUGGACACCUUCAACGGGACAACAACAAAACUGUACCUGCCUUUUUUUUUAAAGGAAGUAGUUAUAAAGUUAUAAAAUUAUUGUUAACAGCUUUUUUAGUCUUGUUGUUUAAGAAUGCUUGCAACAUUUAAGUGGAUAAACGGUUGUUUCAAAAUUUGAUUCUUCAGUAAUGCAUUCUUUAUUAAAUGACGUCAUCUUAUUUCUUUCAAUAUAGUGUAAAUAAUAAGAACAUAAUUAUCCUUUGUAUACAAAAUGAAAACCAAGUUUACUGUUCUAUUAAUCAUUAUUUAUUUAUCUUGUUCUUUUGUCAGAAAUAUUACAGGGGCAUACAUACAGUAUUCCUUAAAUAAAAGGGGCAGUUCUUAGAAAAUUAACAUGUCUUUUAGCAAUGCAUAUUCAAACUUUUUCCACAUUUAUAACCAGCAACAAUAUGUAAGUAUUAUAAUGUAACACAAAUUAAUACUAUGAAUUUACUACUGAUUUUGCCGUGCCUCUCAUCAAAUAAACAUGUUUUACUGAAAGUUUCUUAAAAGAUGUUAUGUGGAAGACUUAAUCAAUCAUUUAAUAAAUAUUUGAGCCUCGCUCUGGGAAAAGGGGGUUUAAUGCAUGUACAUAAGAUUGUCCAAGAUUAGGCUGUGUUGACUGCACAGGCUAAUCAGGGGCAACACUUUCUGCCUUAUCUGAAUUUUCUCUAAGAGACUCCAUUUCAAAAAAUAAAAAUAAAGCAGCAAUUGUCUGCCUGAUUGGUAUGAUCAGCACAUGUUAAUCUUGUACGACAAUUUACGCACAUGCAUUAAGCCCCAUUUUCCCAGGGCAAGGGUCACCUAUUUAGGUUUUAGCUGUCUAUAUGCUCUUUAACUUUUGAAUCAUGAUGCAGUUUCAUAUAAUAAUGUAUUAUGAGUCGUUUUUAAUUGAUGCAAAUUCUUUUGUUCAGUGUUGAACUCAACAUGUAUUAUAAUAAGGUGUUCACUUAACAUUCUUGCAGUAAUGUUUUGCUGUGUAAUAUACAUGUAAUAAUAAAUCAAAAUUGAACAACUA